RNAcentral lists this ribosomal RNA (350 nucleotides) under Haptophyta environmental samples. RNAcentral describes it as "SSU rRNA". It matches the Rfam family "Bacterial small subunit ribosomal RNA", at positions 524 to 877 of the family's 1533-position model. The record is from RNAcentral. Lineage: Eukaryota; Haptophyta.
UACGGGGGAUGCAAGCGUUAUCCGGAUUUAUUGGGCGUAAAGCGCCUGUAGGUUGUUUAAUAAGUCUGUUGUUAAAGACUAGGGCUUAACCCUAGGAAAGCAAUGGAAACUACUAGACUUGAGUAUGAUAGGGGUAGAGGGAAUUUCUAGUGUAGCGGUGAAAUGCGUAGAUAUUAGAAAGAACACCGGUGGCGAAGGCGCUCUACUGGAUCAUUACUGACACUCAGAGGCGAAAGCUAGGGUAGCAAAAGGGAUUAGAUACCCCUGUAGUCCUAGCCGUAAACGAUGGAUACUACAUGUUGCGUUUUUAAUGCAGUAUGGUAGCUAACGCGUUAAGUAUCCCGCCUGGG